Molecule: long non-coding RNA, 2700 nt
Filed under: Homo sapiens (human)
Lineage: Eukaryota; Metazoa; Chordata; Mammalia; Primates; Hominidae
Description: long non-coding RNA NONHSAT047776.2
Source: RNAcentral
AAUGAUUUCCCAGUUGGCAAGGACAGCCAGAGCCAGCUGCCCUCUCCAUGGCAGGACAGGACCAACGAGGUUUUCAAAUGAUGAGGGACCCAAGGGCUGCGGAGCACCCCACCUGCCCCCGAGACCCAGCCCCACGCUGCCCACUUUGUACCCGGUCAGCAGCACCCACUCCUCUCCUAGUCCUGACGUGGCGGAGCUGUGGACAGGAGGGACAGUAGCCUGGGAGUCAGCUCUGGAGGGUGGCCUGGGGCCUGUGGAUAGUGAACUGUGGCCCACUGUUAGGGUGGCUUCUCUCCCUCCUCCUCCCAUAGCCCCUUUGCCAGAGAUGAAGGGCAAGGACAGUCCCCUGCAGCCGGGGACUCCCACCUUCCCAACCCCAGGACCAGGCUUAUGGGACCUUCAGACUGUGGCAGUGUGGGGGACCUUCCUCCCCACAACCCUGACUGACCUCGGGCACACGCCUGAGCCUGCCCUGAACCCAGGACCCAAGGGUCAGCCUGAGUCCCUCAGCCCUGAGGUGCCCCUGAGCUCUAGGCUGCUGUCCAUGCCAGCUUGGGACAGCCCCGCCAACAGCCACAGAGCCCCUGAGACCCAGCCACUGCCUCCCAGCCUGGCUGAAGCGGGGCCCCCCACGGACCCGUUGGUUGUCAGGAACGCCGGCUGACAAGUGGGAAACUGGAGCGAGGCAAGUGGUGUGGGCUGGGUGGGCAGGGAGUUUGCGCAGGACCUUGGUGACUAUUUCCUCAUCUGAAAAUGAGCAGAGUGGGACGCAGGCGCCGUCUGUCUCGCCUUCCUUGGGGCGGGGGUUCCCAGGAUUAGGGGAAUGAGGGGACCUGGGGCCCAUUCCUGGGCAGCACAGGGGGCCUCAGGGAAGGCAGGGGCAGGCACACUCUGGCAGCACAGCAUGCCCCAGGAUGGAGCUGGCUCAGACAGCUGUGCAGUGGGGAGGGUCCCUGUGUGGCCACCAGGCCCAGUCCUGCCCAGCAGGCAGCAGCUUCCCUGAGGCUCUGUCUGGCUCCUCCAGGCUGGACUCAGCCCACUGCUACCUGGCUCUGCCCUCAGUGGCUCCACCCUCCUUUGGCAGUGACCUGCAGACGUCUGAGCUGCAUGAAAGAAGCUGGCUAGUGCCCCCUCCCUGGGUCCCCAGAUGGUCACUGCAGGAGAAGCAAGCUUCUGUUCAGAUUCCUAAUUUUGGGGUGGGAAGGGGCAGGCUGAGGCCCACAGGGCUUGUUUUGCGCGGGGAUAGGCAGCGAUUUGGCUGCUGGUACCAGGACCCAGCCUUCCUUCCCUGGUGCCUCUGGGAAGCGACGAGGCUGGUCAGGAUAGCUGGUCAGGGGUGCCCACAGGGUCUCCUCCCCCGAACCUCUGCACCAAUGACACUGGCACACAGGCCCUUUGUCCCAUGUGAGCAGGGACGGCUGGUUGCUGGGGGGAUUUGACUUUUCAUUCUCAUGGUCUUCCUGGGAGGUGGGUGAAGGAGCCUAUUUUGCAAAUAAGGAAACUGAGGCCCAGAAGAGGGCCCCUGUCUUGCUGAGGUCUUGCUAGCCUAGGUGGGUAGUUUCCUGGCUGUGGAGGCCUGGCGAGGAUGGGCUCUGCCUGGCUUUCACGGGUCUGUGCCCCGCAGUGCUCCACCACCUGUGGCCUGGGUGCCCUCUGGAGGCCGGUGUGCUGUAGCUCCAGCCGGGAUGAGGACUGCGACCCCGCUGGCCGGCCCCAGCCUGCCCGCCGCUGCCACCUGUGGCCCUGUGCCACCUGGCACUCAGGCAACUGGAGUAAGGUGCAUGAGGAUGGAGCCAGGACAGGCAUCCCCAGGGCAUGGGAUGGAGCCCUGGUUCCCCACGGCCUGUGUUCCGAGAGCGGCAGGGAAGGGGAGGGCUCCAGGCUGCAUGUCUAUGUGCCUGAUCGCACCGGAUUCCGAAUCUCUUGGGAGUCAUCUCAUCUUUGUCUGGCUUGGCCUGUCUCCUUUCCUCUGUAUCUUUGACCCCAUCUGGACUUGUUCCUCCCUUUCUCUGUCUGUCCCAGCCCAUGGCAGCCCCUGGCCAUGCCACCUUUUGCCUGGGGCCUGCCAGCCUUGGCCUCUCGCUGGGGCUCUUCAGGGAUUUGCCCCCGGCUGGGGCGUGGGUCUGAUGCCUUUCCUGCCACACGCCUCACGGGGUCACGCCUGUGGGCCUGCACGUGGGGAUGUGUCCACACAAGUCUCUCGGUCCCCAGUGCUCCCACAGCUGUGGCAGAGGUUCCUCAGUGUGGGACAUGCAGCAUGUGGACACAUGGGACCUCUGGCCACUGUGGCCCUUCCAUUGUCAGCCUGGACCUGCCAAGCUGCCUGUGCACUGGCCCUGCGGGGCCCAGCCCUGCCUCAGCUGGUACAUGUCUUCCUGGAGGGAGUGCUCCAAGGCCUGUGGCGGUGGUGAGCAGCAGCGUCUGGUGACCUGCCCAGAGCCAGACCUCUGCGAGGAGGCACUGAGACCCAACACCACCCGGCCCUGCAACACCCACCCCUGCACACAGUGGGUGGUGGGGCCCUGGGGCCAGUGCUCAGGCCCCUGUGGUGGUGGCAUCCAGUGGUCACACACUGGUCAAGUGUGUCAACACCCAGACGGGGCUACCCGAGGAAGACAGUGACCAGUGUGGCCACGAGGCCUGGCCUUGUGAGCUCCCGGCUGUGUGGCACCGAGGAUUGUGAGCCCGUCGAGCCUCCCC